GAUGAACGCUGGCGGCGUGCCUAAUACAUGCAAGUCGAGCGAACAGACGAGGAGCUUGCUCCUCUGACGUUAGCGGCGGACGGGUGAGUAACACGUGGAUAACCUACCUAUAAGACUGGGAUAACUUCGGGAAACCGGAGCUAAUACCGGAUAAUAUAUUGAACCGCAUGGUUCAAUAGUGAAAGACGGUUUUGCUGUCACUUAUAGAUGGAUCCGCGCCGCAUUAGCUAGUUGGUAAGGUAACGGCUUACCAAGGCAACGAUGCGUAGCCGACCUGAGAGGGUGAUCGGCCACACUGGAACUGAGACACGGUCCAGACUCCUACGGGAGGCAGCAGUAGGGAAUCUUCCGCAAUGGGCGAAAGCCUGACGGAGCAACGCCGCGUGAGUGAUGAAGGUCUUCGGAUCGUAAAACUCCGUUAUUAGGGAAGAACAAAUGUGUAAGUAACUAUGCACGUCUUGACGGUACCUAAGCAGAAAGCCACGGCUAACUACGU
RNAcentral lists this ribosomal RNA (496 nucleotides) under uncultured bacterium. Its description in RNAcentral is "partial 16S ribosomal RNA". It matches the Rfam family "Bacterial small subunit ribosomal RNA", at positions 28 to 506 of the family's 1533-position model. The record is from RNAcentral.